Molecule: ribosomal RNA, 497 nt
Filed under: uncultured bacterium
Lineage: Bacteria
Description: bacterial SSU rRNA
Rfam family: Bacterial small subunit ribosomal RNA
Source: RNAcentral
AUGAACGCUAGCGGCAGGCUUAAUACAUGCAAGUUGAGGGGCAGCAUGAUAUACGACGAGUAUAUUGAUGGCGACCGGCGGACGGGUGAGUAAUAGGUAGGAGACCUACCUCAUACAGGGGGAUAGCAUAGAGAAAUCUGUGGUAAUACCCCAUGAGGUUAUAUGAAUAGAGGCAAUAUAAUCAAAGCAUAAGCGAUUAUGCGGUAUGAGAGGGGCCUACUGACCAUUAGCUAGUUGGUGAGGUAAGGGCUCACCAAGGCGAAGAUGGUUAGGGGUUUUGAGAGAGAGACCCCCCCACAUUGGAACUGAGAGACGGUCCAGACUCCUACGGGAGGCAGCAGUAGGGAAUAUUGGGCAAUGGGCGAAAGCCUGACCCAGCCAUGCCGCGUGAAGGAAGACGGCCUUAUGGGUUGUAAACUUCUUUACUACGCGAAUAGAGGUUAGUACGAGAUACUAAUAGGAAGGUAGUGUAGUAAAAAGCACCGGCUAACUCCGUG